AGUAAUUGAGUUGGAAGCUUUAGGGGCU
RNAcentral lists this non-coding RNA (28 nucleotides) under Cricetulus griseus (Chinese hamster). The record is from RNAcentral. Lineage: Eukaryota; Metazoa; Chordata; Mammalia; Rodentia; Cricetidae.